CGGGGUGAGUAAUGUCUGGGAAACUGCCUGAUGGAGGGGGGUAACUACUGGAAACGGUAGCUAAUACCGCAUAACGUCGCAAGACCAAAGAGGGGGACCUUCGGGCCUCUUGCCAUCGGAUGUGCCCAGAUGGGAUUAGCUAGUAGGUGGGGUAACGGCUCACCUAGGCGACGAUCCCUAGCUGGUCUGAGAGGAUGACCAGCCACACUGGAGCUGAGACACGGUCCAG
RNAcentral lists this ribosomal RNA (229 nucleotides) under uncultured bacterium. Its description in RNAcentral is "partial 16S ribosomal RNA". It matches the Rfam family "Bacterial small subunit ribosomal RNA", at positions 104 to 334 of the family's 1533-position model. The record is from RNAcentral.